RNAcentral lists this transfer RNA (72 nucleotides) under Camelus bactrianus (Bactrian camel). It matches the Rfam family "tRNA". From Rfam's summary of the family: Transfer RNA (tRNA) molecules are approximately 80 nucleotides in length. Their secondary structure includes four short double-helical elements and three loops (D, anti-codon, and T loops). RNAcentral also lists the same sequence under 2 other names. Lineage: Eukaryota; Metazoa; Chordata; Mammalia; Artiodactyla; Camelidae. The record is from Rfam by way of RNAcentral.
UAAGGUGUUGCUCAGUGGUAGAGUGUGUGCUUAGCAUGCACGAGGUCCUGGGUUCAAUUCCCAGUACCUCCA